RNAcentral lists this ribosomal RNA (634 nucleotides) under Hansenula anomala. RNAcentral describes it as "Wickerhamomyces anomalus partial large subunit ribosomal RNA". It matches the Rfam family "Eukaryotic large subunit ribosomal RNA", at positions 32 to 664 of the family's 3401-position model. Lineage: Eukaryota; Fungi; Ascomycota; Saccharomycetes; Phaffomycetales; Wickerhamomycetaceae. The record is from RNAcentral.
ACAUCUUUUCUAUUCCCCAAAACGGAGGAAAAGAAACCAACAGGGAUUGCCUCAGUAACGGCGAGUGAAGCGGCAAAAGCUCAAAUUUGAAAUCUAGCACCUUCGGUGUUCGAGUUGUAAUUUGAAGAUGGUAACCUUGGGUUUGGCUCUUGUCUAUGUUCCUUGGAACAGGACGUCAUAGAGGGUGAGAAUCCCGUCUGAUGAGAUGCCCAUUCCUAUGUAAGGUGCUAUCGAAGAGUCGAGUUGUUUGGGAAUGCAGCUCUAAGUGGGUGGUAAAUUCCAUCUAAAGCUAAAUAUUGGCGAGAGACCGAUAGCGAACAAGUACAGUGAUGGAAAGAUGAAAAGAACUUUGAAAAGAGAGUGAAAAAGUACGUGAAAUUGUUGAAAGGGAAGGGCAUUAGAUCAGACUUGGUGUUUUACGAUUAUCUUCUCUUCUUGAGUUGUGCACUCGUAUUUCACUGGGCCAGCAUCGAUUCGGAUGGCAAGAUAAUGGCAGUUGAAUGUGGCUUCACUUCGGUGGAGUGUUAUAGCUUCUGCUGAUAUUGCCUGUCUGGAUCGAGGGCUGCGUCUUUUGACUAGGAUGCUGGCGUAAUGAUCUAAUGCCGCCCGUCUUAAACCCCGGAACCAAACACCA